Molecule: unclassified non-coding RNA, 298 nt
Filed under: uncultured fungus
Lineage: Eukaryota; Fungi
Description: partial contains small subunit ribosomal RNA, internal transcribed spacer 1, and 5.8S ribosomal RNA
Rfam family: Eukaryotic small subunit ribosomal RNA (bases 1-73)
Source: RNAcentral
GCAAACUUGGUCAUUUAGAGGAAGUAAAAGUCGUAACAAGGUUUCCGUAGGUGAACCUGCGGAAGGAUCAUUAUCGAGUUUUUGAGAUCCAAGAUCUCAUACUCCCACCCUUUGUGUACCAAACAAAUGUUGCUUCGGCAGGAUCUCAGAUCUGAUCUGCCUCUGGUCUUUUUGGCUGGAGUGUCUUGCCGGGGGUAUCUUAUACACUGAUUCCAAUGGAGUUGUCUGAUUCAAACAUCUAAUGUUUAAAACUUUCAACAACGGAUCUCUUGGUUCUGGCAUCGAUGAAGAACGCAGC